RNAcentral lists this transfer RNA (74 nucleotides) under marine sediment metagenome. RNAcentral describes it as "tRNA-Ile". It matches the Rfam family "tRNA". Rfam says of the family: Transfer RNA (tRNA) molecules are approximately 80 nucleotides in length. Their secondary structure includes four short double-helical elements and three loops (D, anti-codon, and T loops). The record is from RNAcentral.
UGCCGAGGAGUGGAACGGAAAACCACGCUGGCCUUAUAAGCCUGAAAUAUCGGGUUCGACUCCCGUCUUGACUA